UUAAAACAAUAUGCCCAAGCCCAACAAUCCGAGCCCAAGUCUUAACCUGUGAACACUGAACAGCCCUUUAACCGUAAGGAUAAAAUGUAAAAACCCUACAAUCUCUUUUCAUUUCACAUUUCUGAUUUCUGAAUUCGGAUUUCUGUUCCAGCCUAAGAACAAGACAAGCAGAGGCUCAUGUUUCUUACAUAGUCACGGUCAUAGACUCACAGUAAAGGCUCAAGAGCAACCUCAACUCUUCAAGAACAAGGCUGUCAAAUUUUGAGAAGAUGAAAAGGGCAGAGGUUGAACAUUUGGAGGUUCCUAAAGAUAGUUCAGUAACACCAACAUCUGUUGUAACUGGAUUGCAAGAGAUGUGCUUGCUAUUCCUACAUCUACUAUUGCCUCGGAAUCAGCUUUUAGCACCGGUGGUCGGAUACUUGAUUGUUAUCGAAGUUCUCUAUCGACAAAGACAGCUGAAGCUCUUGUUUGUUGUCAAUAAUGGUUGCGGUCAACAUCUAAAGAAUGCAAGCUUGAAGACCUUUUAGAAGAAAUUCAAAAUCUUGAGAUCGCUGAAAAAGAUUCUCUGGGCACUGUUUUGAGCAUUGAUUAGUUUGGAGCUUAAGCUAAGGAAGAUGGUCGAAGUACUUUUGAUUAUAUUAUGGAUUCUCUAGUUAGUUUAGUUUAAAUAUGUAAGUUUUUCAUUUUUAUGGAGAAAGUUGUUUGUAUUUUAGAACCUCUGUUUGACUUGUUCUUUUGAAUCUAAACUGCUUUGCAAGUUUGGUUCACCUGAUUUGCCGUCAGCUUGUGGGCAGUGAGGAAAAAAGAGCUUCAUAAGAAAUUUGAAGAAUGUAGAGAUAGAAUAUUUGAAUUGUCGCGGCUAGUCAUAAACCGAAAAACCGAACCAAACCGAACCAAACCGACAAUAACCAAACCGGUGGUUAUUAUUUUACUUGGUUUGGUUAUG
Molecule: long non-coding RNA, 946 nt
Organism: Lycium barbarum (goji berry)
Lineage: Eukaryota; Viridiplantae; Streptophyta; Magnoliopsida; Solanales; Solanaceae
Exons: 4
Source: RefSeq, a predicted model, not a curated record